Molecule: long non-coding RNA, 1149 nt
Organism: Acanthopagrus latus (yellowfin seabream)
Lineage: Eukaryota; Metazoa; Chordata; Actinopteri; Spariformes; Sparidae
Exons: 2
Source: RefSeq, a predicted model, not a curated record
ACGUCAAUAUCCAACAUGGCGGCCCACAUUGCGCUGGAGCUCCUGUUUGCCGAGGAAGAGAUUAUCUGCUUAUGGCUUUUAAAACGACAAAUGCAACGCAGAAGGAGGCGGCCUGUCCGUCGCUUACCCGCAAAGUGACGUCCCGGUGGGGAAUUUAAUCGCGUUGUCGAGCCACUGCGCGCUCCCGACAAGGAAAUGCACUUCAGCUACUUUCACGUCUCCGCUCUCUUUUGAUGAGCUGCUGCAUCGCAUCUAGCCGUUCACACAACACGACAAGACUCGCAGCCGGCUAGCGGUGAGUUUGGAAUAGAAACUAGCUAUAACUUUAAGGUUACUCGCAUCAGGCAGUGACCAGGAAAGUGUUGGGAGCCAUUGAUGUGAGACACAUGCAAACCCAGGCACCAUCAGUCCCAGGGACUGAUCACAGUUUCUACAGGGGACCCUGGAUCUUCCUCUACCUGCCCCUCUGAAUGACACGAACACCUCAACACCACCUGUGUUCCUGGGGGAUGAAACAUUCCCUCUGGAUGUACAUUUGAUGCGGCCAUAUUCAGGCAUCAAGCUUGAUGAUGCACAGACAGUCUACAAUAAUCGCCACUCCAGGACCAGGAGAGUGAUUGAAAAUGCUUUUGGUGUCCUGGCUGCCCGCUGGAGGAUUCUGGGUAGGCCCAUAGAUCUCCACCAGACCGUGGAUGUGGUUGAGGCCUGUGUGGCCCUGCACAACAUCUUCACAUGCAAUUUGUUGACAGGACUGCAGCAUCAGUGAAGAUUCUGCCAGGUAAAUGGAGGAGGCUGGUUGCCAAGGACAACAGCCUGCUGGAGCGAGCGACUGUCAACUGCCUGGGCAUCACAGGAUGCGGGUGUCAGUCCAAGACACCAUGAAGUCGUACUUCCACAGUGCAGGACACAGACAUUGGGACAGCUGUAUGAAAUCUGUCAUAUUUGAUGUGUCUGUUAAUGUAAUGUCUGCCUAUAAAAGAACAGUGAACUAGUGAUUGCACAUUCACACACAAACAUUGUAAAUAAAUUAAUAAUAAUUAAUAAUGCAUUUAAAUAAGUUUUCACUUUAGUUUUGUAUCCUUUUCACACUAUUUUGCAUCCAUGUACAUAAUGUGAAUUUGAAUUAAAAACAAAUAUAUGUACAGAAGA